Molecule: transfer RNA, 76 nt
Filed under: Lachnospiraceae bacterium NE2001
Lineage: Bacteria; Bacillati; Bacillota; Clostridia; Lachnospirales; Lachnospiraceae
Description: tRNA_Phe_GAA
Rfam family: tRNA
About the family: Transfer RNA (tRNA) molecules are approximately 80 nucleotides in length.
Source: RNAcentral
GGGAAGAUAGCUCCAAUGGUAGAGCGGUGGAUUGAAGCUCCACGCGGUAUAGGUUCGAAUCCUAUUCUUCCCACUA